This is a long non-coding RNA of Mercenaria mercenaria, 651 nucleotides long. RefSeq lists it as uncharacterized. The transcript has 6 exons. The record is from RefSeq and is a predicted model, not a curated record. Lineage: Eukaryota; Metazoa; Mollusca; Bivalvia; Venerida; Veneridae.
AUCAAUAUUGAUGAACAUAGAACAUUAGACCUGUACCACUGGCAUCCUGUAUCUUCGCCAGAACAGACCAGAUACCUCACAAGACAGAAAGUGUAUGUCUAGCAAAGCAUUCUAUGGUUGAAGCUCUAAUAUCAGGUUGUAAGUGUUUUGGUACAGACACUGAAGAGAGAAGGCGGCUAAAAAAACUGCAAUUCAGGUGUGAGUUGUUACAGUUUGAAGAAAAUGUGAUUGAAAAGUGAUUGUAUUUUGUUCUGUAGGGAUGAAAAUCUGAUCCGAUACUUUGUUGUGGAAAGGGUAAAAUUCAUGUGGAACUCUGAAGAAGACAAAGACCAGAAACUUAGAGGGUUAGAAGUUAACAAUACAUGUUCAUAUUUCCAUGAGGUGAAAGGUUUGAGCUGCGAACACCAAAGCAAAAGUGAAAUGUAUGAAGUUCAGUUGUAAUGGUAAUGAGAUGCAGGUCUUUGUCCUACAUGGUGAGGGAAACAGUGUAUGGCAUUUUUGGAAAACAUGUAAUAGGAUGAAAAUUACAAAAAAUGACUGGAGAUCUUUGCUUAGUUCUAGCUCUCUGAGUGAUUUGAUGUUAAUCCACUCAGAGACUGAGUCUGUUGAGAAGUUUGAUCCAUUGGAUUCAAUAUUAUUAUGGAAUUCCAG